Molecule: ribosomal RNA, 253 nt
Filed under: uncultured bacterium
Lineage: Bacteria
Description: partial 16S ribosomal RNA
Rfam family: Bacterial small subunit ribosomal RNA
Source: RNAcentral
UACGAAGGGGGCUAGCGUUGUUCGGAAUUACUGGGCGUAAAGCGUAUGCAGGCGGAUCUUUAAGUCAGGGGUGAAAUCCCGAGGCUCAACCUCGGAACUGUCUUUGAUACUGGAGAUCUUGAGUCCGGGAGAGGUGAGUGGAACUGCGAGUGUAGAGGUGAAAUUCGUAGAUAUUCGCAAGAACACCAGUGGCGAAGGCGGCUCACUGGCCCGGUACUGACGCUGAGAUACGAAAGCCAGGGGAGCAAACGGG